GGCGAUUCAGUCGCGUGUCCUAGACCCGAAGCGAAGUGAUCUAUCCAUGGCCAGGUUGAAGCGACGGUAAGACGUCGUGGAGGACCGAACCCACUUAGGUUGAAAACUGAGGGGAUGAGCUGUGGAUAGGGGUGAAAGGCCAAUCAAACUUCGUGAUAGCUGGUUCUCUCCGAAAUGCAUUUAGGUGCAGCGUUGCGUGUUUCUUGCCGGAGGUAGAGCUACUGGAUGGCCGAUGGGCCCUACAAGGUUACUGACGUCAGCCAAACUCCGAAUGCCGGUAAGUGAGAGCGCAGCAGUGAGACUGUGGGGGAUAAGCUUCAUAGUCGAGAGGGAAACAACCCAGACCACCAACUAAGGUCCCAAAGCGCGUGCUAAGUGGGAAAGGAUGUGGAGUUGCCUUGACAACCAGGAGGUUGGCUUAGAAGCAGCCACCCUUGAAAGAGUGCGUAAUAGCUCACUGGUCAAGUGAUUCCGCGCCGACAAUGUAACGGGGCUCAAGCACGCCACCGAAGUUGUGGCAUUGACAUUAUUGGUAGGCCUUCGUGGUCCAGCCGUGUUGAUGGGUAGGAGAGCGUCGUGUGGCCAGCGAAGCGGCGGUGUGAACCAGCCGUGGAGGCUACACGAGUGAGAAUGCAGGCAUGAGUAGCGAAAGACAUGUGAGAAACAUGUCCUCCGAAAGACCAAGGGUUCCAGGGUCAAGCUAAUCUUCCCUGGGUAAGUCGGGACCUAAGGCGAGGCCGACAGGCGUAGUCGAUGGACAACGGGUUGAUAUUCCCGUACCGGCGAAGAACCGCCCAUACUGAUCUUGCGAUGCUAACCACCCCAGACAUUCCAUCGUGUUCCUUCGGGAACGCACCGGUUUGCGAGGCGUGGGACCCGAGCUUGAAAGGUAAGCGUAUUAACAGGUGUGACGCAGGAAGGUAGCCGGGCCAGGCAAUGGAAUUGACCUGGUCUAAGGGUGUAGGGCGUUUCGUAGGCAAAUCCGCGAAACAUAUAGCCUGAGACCUGAUGGGCGCCCCUUUAGGGGGGUGAUCCGGUGAUCCUAUGCUGCCAAGAAAAGCAUCGACGCGAGGUUCUAGCCGCCCGUACCCCAAACCGACUCAGGUGGUCAGGUAGAGAAUACCAAGGAGAUCGAGAGAAUCGUGGUUAAGGAACUCGGCAAAAUGCCCCCGUAACUUCGGGAGAAGGGGGGCCAUCCACUUAUUAGGACUUGCUCCGAAAGGGUGUGGUGGCCGCAGAGACUAGUGGGUAGCGACUGUUUACUAAAAACACAGGUCCGUGCCAAGUCGCAAGACGAUGUAUACGGACUGACGCCUGCCCGGUGCUGGAAGGUUAAGAGGACCGGUUAGCCGCAAGGCGAAGCUGAGAAUUUAAGCCCCAGUAAACGGCGGUGGUAACUAUAACCAUCCUAAGGUAGCGAAAUUCCUUGUCGGGUAAGUUCCGACCUGCACGAAUGGCGUAACGACUUCCCAACUGUCUCAACCGCGAACUCGGCGAAAUUGCAUUACGAGUAAAGAUGCUCGUUACGCGCAGCAGGACGGAAAGACCCCGUGACCUUUA
Molecule: ribosomal RNA, 1560 nt
Filed under: wastewater metagenome
Description: bacterial LSU rRNA
Rfam family: Bacterial large subunit ribosomal RNA
Source: RNAcentral